CUGGAGGAUCGUGUCAGAAAAGCCAUAUGCUACCAAGAGUUCCUGGAGAGAGCCACAAUAAUGUCCGGAAAGUUUGAGAGCAUUGGUCAAGUCAUUGACCGUCUUCACACACUCCAGUCCAUCAACAAGGAACUUCUAGAAAGCCAAACUAGGUUAGAGAAGGAGAGAGAAAGCACAAAGCUGAAACUGAUACAGUACAUAAAUAAACUGCGAACUGUUCUCCUGCACUGUAACAACCAACUGCACCAGCAACAGACGCAGCUAGACACCAUACGCUUAGAAGCAUACAAAUGGGAAUUAAAACUGAAGCACUUCCAUUCCACUGCAGCAAAAGAGACGCUCCAGUUUGCUCAGCUAAAGGCCACAAUCCGUAACAUUUAUCAGAUGAUCACACAUUACAGAAGAGUCUCUGUGGACACUGAGGACACCUUCAAGCAGCUGGAAAUGAUUCAGAAAUAUUUUCAGUUUAUGAGAGCUAUAGAUGAUGAACUGAAGUUCAACAUUAUAACAAGGCCGAAUCGAACUGAAGGGAAUGACAGCGGAGAUUAAGACUCAAGCUCUGUGUAUCCACAGU
Molecule: long non-coding RNA, 574 nt
Filed under: Sinocyclocheilus grahami
Lineage: Eukaryota; Metazoa; Chordata; Actinopteri; Cypriniformes; Cyprinidae
Description: lncRNA (ENSSGRG00000028856.1)
Source: RNAcentral